GGCUUUGACUGGAAUGUCAUAUUUGAGAAUUAUAUGCAUAGACUCAAUAUGACCAGACAGCUUUAAGGAACUAAGGUUGGCUUUAUGAAAUACAGAGCCAUAAAGCCUCUUAGAAAUGUUGGCCUGAUACCUUGCUUGCAGAGUUCCCAGCAGUCUCACUAGGUGAGUAAAGAAGGUCACUUCCUGGCAGGUGCAGGAACCUCAGAAUAUCUUGGGGACCUCAUGAAGAGGAAUUUGCCCAAUUCUACAGGUGUUGCAGGCCUGUCUGAUGGCAAGUAUUUGGCUUGGCUUCUGGCCUGGAGAGGCUACUAAAAGUUCAAUAUGGAGAUUCCUUACAAAAGGUUCCAACAAAGCAAACUUUGUCACUAUUUUUGCUGAGCUUAUGUAAAUAAUUAGGCCAGGUUUGUUAAGACUGGAUUUGUUCUACAAAUGCGUUGGUCUCGAUUUGGCUAUCUCUGGAAAUGGGGGGUUUUAGAGAGAAAAACUAUGUUUUAACAACACACUGUUAUGAGUGUUAAAUUCCAGUUCUGAUUGUCUUUAAAUGUUUGUUUGCCUAAACUAGACACCUUGAGGUAAACUUUAGAAAAAUUGUCACAGUAUUUCAUGUAUAGACAAUCUUCUGUGGUGGUUAUUCUGUGGGGAUAAUAAUAAGACCCCAUGGGUCCAUCACUCCAGAAUUAAGAAGGCCAACUCUAAAGAGCCCUCAACCUGGAAAAGUAACUCAGACCUGGUCGACCCGCUUAAACUGACCCUCAAAAAGAUGCUGGCCCCUGAGAUCUUCAGCCCUGCUCCAGCCACACCCCGGAAGCUGGCUGGCCUGCGCACAGCAGAAGCUUGAGGAAUCAGUGUGUGGACUAAGUCCAGGUGUUUGGAUGCAACUCUGCCAACUCUUGCUCCUUACUAUUGGACUAUUAGAGGCUGCCCCACAAACUGGAAAUCCUGGCUUCCUGCCCUGGCAGGGCCCCUCCUUUCCAUAAUUUUACUUGUGACCAUCGGCCUCUGUAUCUUAAAACCCUGGUAUGCUUCACUGAAAACACCAUUGCUUGCCAAACUGCAACACACACCUUAGCCUUCCAAGGGUACCAACCCCUAGAGCUAAAGGGUGAUGCGUACUAAAAAAAUAUCUUUAAAAGAGGCAUCAAAGGGGGAAAUGUUGGGAAAAUAAGUAAAGUUAUGCACCAUCACAUGGCCUAUGGGACUGACAUGAGCUCUAGUUUCUAGCUUAGAGACCCCUCUUCCGGGUUCUUCUUCCUGCCCUGCUUGCCAUGCGUGCCAAAUUACUACUAAUGUGGAAUGCGGAAGUAACAGAUGAUGAAUUGUCCCCCUGCUUGUGCUUGGUUCUCAGACCUCUGGAGAAUGAUCUCCUCUGAGCCCACCAGUGUAAAAUAAACCUCCUGCCUUCCAAGA
Molecule: long non-coding RNA, 1407 nt
Organism: Herpailurus yagouaroundi (jaguarundi)
Lineage: Eukaryota; Metazoa; Chordata; Mammalia; Carnivora; Felidae
Exons: 2
Source: RefSeq, a predicted model, not a curated record